UCCCUGGUGGCUCAGACGGUAAAGCGUCUGCCUACAUUGCAGGGGACCCGGGUUCGAUCCCUGGGUUGGGAA
Transfer RNA from Ovis aries (sheep), 72 nucleotides. It matches the Rfam family "tRNA". Rfam says of the family: Transfer RNA (tRNA) molecules are approximately 80 nucleotides in length. Their secondary structure includes four short double-helical elements and three loops (D, anti-codon, and T loops). The record is from Rfam. Lineage: Eukaryota; Metazoa; Chordata; Mammalia; Artiodactyla; Bovidae.